This 414-nucleotide ribosomal RNA is filed under the name Triticum aestivum (bread wheat). RNAcentral's name for it is "partial small subunit ribosomal RNA". Lineage: Eukaryota; Viridiplantae; Streptophyta; Magnoliopsida; Poales; Poaceae. The record is from RNAcentral.
AUGGCCACCUACCUCUCAGACAUGAUCAGUGACCAUUCCCUGGAUUUUUUGGGGUUGCGGGAAACUAUGAAGAAAGACUUCACUCCUAAAUGCUUGAGGAGGAUUGAUCCCUCUGACAUCUUUCAUUGGGACUGGGUGCCUUUUGUAGGUAAAUUUGGGGGUAUCCUAUGUGGUGCGAGGAGAGAUACCUUAGAUGUAGUUUCCUGUUCUAAAGUCAAAUAUGUGCUUCAAAUGGUGCUUUAUGACAAAAAGAAAAAAUUCCAGUGGGGGUUGCUAGUGGUUUAUGGGUCGGCACAUGAUGAAUUCAAAAAUGAGUUCUUGAUUGAAUUGGCUGCUUCUUGUAGUAGCAUGAGUAUUCCCUACAUAGUGGGGGGAGACUUUAACAUAUUGAGACACCCUGGAGAGAAGAAUUAA